UGCAGUCGAGCGGUAGCACAGAGAGCUUGCUCUCGGGUGACGAGCGGCGGACGGGUGAGUAAUGUCUGGGAAACUGCCUGAUGGAGGGGGAUAACUACUGGAAACGGUAGCUAAUACCGCAUAAUGUCGCAAGACCAAAGUGGGGGACCUUCGGGCCUCAUGCCAUCAGAUGUGCCCAGAUGGGAUUAGCUAGUAGGUGGGGUAACGGCUCACCUAGGCGACGAUCCCUAGCUGGUCUGAGAGGAUGACCAGCCACACUGGAACUGAGACACGGUCCAGACUCCUACGGGAGGCAGCAGUGGGGAAUAUUGCACAAUGGGCGCAAGCCUGAUGCAGCCAUGCCGCGUGUGUGAAGAAGGCCUUCGGGUUGUAAAGCACUUUCAGCGGGGAGGAAGGCGAUAAGGUUAAUAACCUUGUCGAUUGACGUUACCCGCAGAAGAAGCACCGGCUAACUCCGUGCCAGCAGCCGCGGUAAUACGGAGGGUGCAAGCGUUAAUCGGAAUUACUGGGCGUAAAGCGCACGCAGGCGGUCUGUCAAGUCGGAUGUGAAAUCCCCGGGCUCAACCUGGGAACUGCAUUCGAAACUGGCAGGCUAGAGUCUUGUAGAGGGGGGUAGAAUUCCAGGUGUAGCGGUGAAAUGCGUAGAGAUCUGGAGGAAUACCGGUGGCGAA
This 671-nucleotide ribosomal RNA is filed under the name Klebsiella pneumoniae. RNAcentral's name for it is "bacterial SSU rRNA". It matches the Rfam family "Bacterial small subunit ribosomal RNA", at positions 56 to 719 of the family's 1533-position model. Lineage: Bacteria; Pseudomonadati; Pseudomonadota; Gammaproteobacteria; Enterobacterales; Enterobacteriaceae. The record is from RNAcentral.